UGGAAUGUAGCUUAGUGGUAGAGUGCUUGCCUAGCAUGCAUGAAGCCUAGGGUUUGAUUCCUCAGUACCAU
This is a non-coding RNA of Dipodomys ordii (Ord's kangaroo rat), 71 nucleotides long. Lineage: Eukaryota; Metazoa; Chordata; Mammalia; Rodentia; Heteromyidae. The record is from Rfam.